CGGGUGAGUAACACGUAUCCAACCUGCCGUCUACUCUUGGACAGCCUUCUGAAAGGAGGAUUAAUACAAGAUGGCAUCAUGAGUCCGCAUGUUCACAUGAUUAAAGGUAUUCCGGUAGACGAUGGGGAUGCGUUCCAUUAGAUAGUAGGCGGGGUAACGGCCCACCUAGUCUUCGAUGGAUAGGGGUUCUGAGAGGAAGGUCCCCCACAUUGGAACUGAGACACGGUCCAA
RNAcentral lists this ribosomal RNA (231 nucleotides) under uncultured bacterium. Its description in RNAcentral is "partial 16S ribosomal RNA". It matches the Rfam family "Bacterial small subunit ribosomal RNA", at positions 103 to 334 of the family's 1533-position model. The record is from RNAcentral.